CAGCCGCCGCGGUAAUACAGAGGGUGCAAGCGUUAAUCGGAAUUACUGGGCGUAAAGCGCGCGUAGGUGGUUUGUUAAGUUGGAUGUGAAAGCCCCGGGCUCAACCUGGGAACUGCAUCCAAAACUGGCAAGCUAGAGUACGGUAGAGGGUGGUGGAAUUUCCUGUGUAGCGGUGAAAUGCGUAGAUAUAGGAAGGAACACCAGUGGCGAAGGAGACCACCUGGACUGAUACUGACACUGAGGUGCGAAAGCGUGGGGAGCAAACAGGAUUAGAUACCCCUGUAGUCCCUGUCUCUUAUAC
Molecule: ribosomal RNA, 301 nt
Filed under: uncultured bacterium
Lineage: Bacteria
Description: partial 16S ribosomal RNA
Rfam family: Bacterial small subunit ribosomal RNA
Source: RNAcentral